This 359-nucleotide long non-coding RNA is filed under the name Manacus vitellinus (golden-collared manakin). RNAcentral describes it as "lncRNA (ENSMVIG00005016998.1)". The record is from RNAcentral. Lineage: Eukaryota; Metazoa; Chordata; Aves; Passeriformes; Pipridae.
ACAAGAGGCAAAAUAAACCUCUGACACUCGCUAAAGUUUCACACUACAGAAGUGAAAAGAUAUCACCCGGGACUUCCUUUCCAUUGUACAUUCACCUACUACCAUCGCUACUGAUGCUGAUACUGGCUCACCGGGAUCAUCAUUUGCAACAGAGCAUGUUUGGCUCCUUCUCAGGUGAUCUUUGUAUUGCUGUUUUCCUGUGUUGACACCUAUUGGAGAAACGGUUUAUACUAGUUUCAGAAACCAUCUCAUUUGAUGAUCUUAUGACUUGCUAUUAUCCUUCACAAAUGUGUUACUUACUGUACUUCCGCAGUUUCCAUCUAUUAAAACUAAUCAAACAUGCUUCAUUUACUGCCUGU